RNAcentral lists this transfer RNA (77 nucleotides) under Sphingopyxis sp. Its description in RNAcentral is "tRNA-Arg". It matches the Rfam family "tRNA". Rfam says of the family: Transfer RNA (tRNA) molecules are approximately 80 nucleotides in length. Their secondary structure includes four short double-helical elements and three loops (D, anti-codon, and T loops). RNAcentral also lists the same sequence under 12 other names. Lineage: Bacteria; Pseudomonadati; Pseudomonadota; Alphaproteobacteria; Sphingomonadales; Sphingopyxidaceae. The record is from RNAcentral.
GCACCCGUAGCUCAGCUGGAUAGAGCGCUGCCCUCCGAAGGCAGAGGUCAGGGGUUCGAAUCCCUUCGGGUGCGCCA